AGUGAACGCUGGCGGUAGGCCUAACACAUGCAAGUCGAACGGCAGCACAGUAAGAGCUUGCUCUUACGGGUGGCGAGUGGCGGACGGGUGAGGAAUACAUCGGAAUCUACUUUUUCGUGGGGGAUAACGUAGGGAAACUUACGCUAAUACCGCAUACGACCUACGGUUGAAAGCAGGGGAUCUUCGGACCUUGCGCGAUUGAAUGAGCCGAUGUCGGAUUAGCUAGUUGGCGGGGUAAAGGCCCACCAAGGCGACGAUCCGUAGCUGGUCUGAGAGGAUGAUCAGCCACACUGGAACUGAGACACGGUCCAGAAUCCUACGGGAGGCAGCAGUGGGGAAUAUUGGACAAUGGGCGCAAGCCUGAUCCAGCAAUACCGCGUGGGUGAAGAAGGCCUUCGGGUUGUAAAGCCCUUUUGUUGGGAAAGAAAAGCAGCAGGUUAAUACCCCGCUGUUCUGACGGUACCCAAAGAAUAAGCACCGGCUAACUUCGUG
RNAcentral lists this ribosomal RNA (492 nucleotides) under uncultured bacterium. RNAcentral describes it as "partial 16S ribosomal RNA". It matches the Rfam family "Bacterial small subunit ribosomal RNA", at positions 29 to 507 of the family's 1533-position model. The record is from RNAcentral.